This 416-nucleotide long non-coding RNA is filed under the name Homo sapiens (human). Its description in RNAcentral is "HSALNT0395290". The record is from RNAcentral. Lineage: Eukaryota; Metazoa; Chordata; Mammalia; Primates; Hominidae.
UUCCAGCUCCCUGCCCCACAUCCACCCACUCUCCUCGGACCUCAGUUGGAGCUGGACCCCGACCCUAAGCAUGACAUAUUUGCACAGAUGGAAAAGCUGAGACACAGAGAAGUUCCUUGAGUUGCCUGAGAUCACAGAGCAGCAGGGCCAGGACCCGGUCCCAGGAAGUUCCACUGCAGGCCCGGCUCUAACCCUCAUCACUGUGGUGGUGGCCUUCAGUUUGAGUUGGGUCAGAAUGAUCAGGUCAUCAUUUUAUAAACCAGAGAAGAAAAUCGUUUCCAUUAAUGCUGAAUAUUGGUGCCACUGAAGUUAUAAUACCCUGUUGCUGAUGCCACUGUAGAAGGCUAUGUUGUUAACUUUUUAAAAAAGUGCAUUUAUUGCUUGUAUUUUGCUGUAUCCAAAUAAAAUUAUUUGUG